Molecule: long non-coding RNA, 723 nt
Filed under: Phoenix dactylifera (date palm)
Lineage: Eukaryota; Viridiplantae; Streptophyta; Magnoliopsida; Arecales; Arecaceae
Description: long non-coding RNA (PDAC_LNC018479)
Source: RNAcentral
GGAUGCCAUAUGAUAUGUGUGCUUCACAAUUAACUAUAUGACAUAAAGCGAAGCUCACAUUUAUGUGGUUGACCUCAACAACAUCAUGCUUUGCAUUGCUCUCUCUCUCACUCUCACUUCAAGGUGAACAAACUCCUUUUGUUGGAAGAAAUGCUUUCGUAGGUGGAUGAACUUUGCAAAUUCUGUUAUAAACUGCGGCCUUCACUUAGAUUUUUGAGUUUGCUUUUUCUAACUCUGAUAAAUGUUAAUUCUAAAACUUUUUCAUAGAACUAAUGUAUAAUAUUAAACAUCUAAAGUAAACAGCAAGCAUCAUAGUACAGCAUUUAAUAUUCCAUCUUGACUUUUUCAGAAAUGUGUCAAACCUUUUAAACUCAUUCAUUGGUGAUGUCCUAUGGUAAGCUACACUCUGCCAUCCCCUACACGGCUAGACUUGAAAAAUAGUUGUCUUAGAUGAAAGGUAUUUAAUGAUAUUAGGUUUAGAAAUCUAUAAGUUCUUUUAUUAAGGGUCACCGUGCCGGUACAUGGGCCUAUACCAGUUGUCAUGUGGCACGGUUUGGUACACCCCCAUGUCAUUCCAUGCCAUGCCCAUACCGACAUAGCCGAAAGAGCGGGGGAGAGGAAAAAUGGGAGAGAGGAAGAGUGUUAGAGGAGGGAGGGAGAGAGUGAGAAGGCCAUGGAGCGUGGUCCAACACGGUAGAGAGGAAGGGGGAGAGGGAGAAUGGG